Molecule: transfer RNA, 68 nt
Filed under: Xylophaga washingtona
Lineage: Eukaryota; Metazoa; Mollusca; Bivalvia; Myida; Xylophagaidae
Description: tRNA-Lys
Source: RNAcentral
CCCUUGUAGCUUAAUAUAAAUAAAGCAGUAGGCUUUUAACCUAAAUAUACACUCUUGUUGUCUAGGGA